This 1520-nucleotide ribosomal RNA is filed under the name uncultured bacterium. Its description in RNAcentral is "bacterial SSU rRNA". It matches the Rfam family "Bacterial small subunit ribosomal RNA". The record is from RNAcentral.
AGAGUUUGAUCCUGGCUCAGAACGAACGCUGGCGGCGUGCUUAACACAUGCAAGUCGAACGCGAAAGGUUCUUUCGGGAACUGAGUAGAGUGGCGCACGGGUGAGUAACGCCUAAGUAAUCUACCCCUGUAUUCGGAAUACCCCACCGAAAGGUGAGCUAAUACCGGAUACGUUUAUCUUGAUGCGAAUGAUGAUAAAGAAAGGGGAGGCCUCUGCAUAUGCUUCCGUACCAGGAUGAGCUUGCGUACCAUUAGCUAGUUGGUAGGGUAAUGGCCUACCAAGGCGACGAUGGUUAGCGGGUCUGAGAGGAUGAUCCGCCACACUGGAACUGGAACACGGACCAGACUCCUACGGGAGGCAGCAGUGAGGAAUAUUGCGCAAUGGGGGCAACCCUGACGCAGCGACGCCGCGUGGAUGAUGAAGGCCUUUGGGUCGUAAAAUCCUGUCAGAUGGAAAGAAAUGCCACAGGGCUAAUAUCUUUGUGGUUUGACGGUACACGCGAAGGAAGCAACGGCUAACUCCGUGCCAGCAGCCGCGGUAAUACGUAGGUGGCGAACGUUAUCCGGAAUUACUGGGCGUAAAGGGCGCGUAGGUGGUUUAUUAAGUCAAAAGUGAAAACUCCAGGCUCAACUUGGAGACUGCUUCUGAAACUGGUAGACUUGAGUGCAGGAGAGGGAAGUGGAAUUCCUAGUGUAGCGGUGAAAUUCGUAGAUAUUAGGAGGAACACCAGUGGCGAAGGCGGCUUACUGGCUUGUAACUGACACUGAGGCGCGAAAGCGUGGGGAGCGAACAGGAUUAGAUACCCUGGUAGUCCACGCCGUAAACGAUGGGAGCUAGGUGUUGGGCGUCAAAACUCGGUGCCGCGCUAACGCAUUAAGCUGACCGCCUGGGGAGUACGGUCGCAAGAUUAAAACUCAAAGGAAUUGACGGGGGCCCGCACAAGCAGUGGAGCAUGUGGUUUAAUUCGACGCAACGCGAAGAACCUUACCAGGGCUUGACAUCCCGGGAAUCUCCAGGAAACUAGAGAGUGCCUCGUAAGAGGAGCCCGGAGACAGGUGCUGCAUGGCUGUCGUCAGCUCGUGUCGUGAGAUGUUGGGUUAAGUCCCGCAACGAGCGCAACCCUUAUCUUUAGUUGCCAUCAUUCAGUUGGGCACUCUAAGGAGACUGCCGGUGUCAAACCGGAGGAAGGUGGGAUGGUGACGUCAAGUCCUCAUGGCCCUUAUGUCCAGGGCUACACACGUGCUACAAUGGCCGGUGCAAAGGGAUGCGGAAACCGCGAGGUGGAGCCAAUCCCCAAAAAUAUGUCCCAGUUCGGAUUGUAGGCUGCAACUCGACUCCAUGAAGUUGGAAUCGCUAGUAAUCGCGGAUCAGCAUGCCGCGGUGAAUACGUUCCCGGGCCUUGUACACACCGCCCGUCACACCACGGGAGUUGAUUGUACCUGAAAUCGGUGGGCUAACCUUCGGGAGGCAGCCGCUUAUGGUAUGGUCGGUGACUGGGGUGAAGUCGUAACAAGGUAACC